AGACGCAGAGCAGCAACGAUGUUGACAGCGAUUACAACAACACCAGAGGCUUUGUCGUCGAUUCUCCGAAAUGGACGUAGGAGCUCGACGCAGGGAUGACGGCCGGUUGAGGCACUGCGCGAUUUCACAGAACAGAACGAGUGUAUCUCGGAGAAUGGGUGCAAGGUGUGUAAUGACGACUACCAUUCCCUCAAUCCCCUGGCAGAUGGUUGUACGUAGCGGAUUGAGCCGAUGGAGUUCUUCAUCGGCAAGGGCUGCCGCCCCAGUGUAUAACACACUGUUACAACAACAACAACCAUUCCCUCCUGCAGUUCCAUCCGAUGCCGAGAAUCAGCCGUGAUGAGCUGGAGAGGAGGCGUGAUGACCCCAGACUACCGGAGGACCUCCUGGAAUAGUUAAAUAGACAGGAGGCGAGGCGAGUAUUAGUUGAGGUGGUUCCCAGGCGAGAAAUCCGCCUUGCCCGAAGGCAUCAGCCGCCACUUACUCUCCAUCAACAAAUGCUGCGUAUUACCAUCCGCAUCCUAAGACGCCUCAACGAGGUUAUGGAAAAUCAUUGAUCGUCCUUCUCGCCCAAGCCAAGUUUACCCGUUUUUAUAUAGUUUUAAUAAAUUCUAAGCUUUAACAUGCAUUUCAAAUGUAUUUAAAUAAAACUCAUUGUGAAUUGAUAACUUGAA
Stomoxys calcitrans (stable fly) is the source of this 674-nucleotide long non-coding RNA. RefSeq lists it as uncharacterized. The record is from RefSeq and is a predicted model, not a curated record. Lineage: Eukaryota; Metazoa; Arthropoda; Insecta; Diptera; Muscidae. The transcript is spliced from 2 exons.